RNAcentral lists this ribosomal RNA (846 nucleotides) under Aureobasidium sp. BJ-2021j. RNAcentral describes it as "partial large subunit ribosomal RNA". It matches the Rfam family "Eukaryotic large subunit ribosomal RNA", at positions 75 to 941 of the family's 3401-position model. The record is from RNAcentral. Lineage: Eukaryota; Fungi; Ascomycota; Dothideomycetes; Dothideales; Saccotheciaceae.
UUGCCCUAGUAACGGCGAGUGAAGCGGCAACAGCUCAAAUUUGAAAGCUGGCCUUCGGGUCCGCAUUGUAAUUUGUAGAGGAUGCUUUGGGUGAAACGCCAGUCUAAGUUCCUUGGAACAGGACGUCAUAGAGGGUGAGAAUCCCGUAUGUGACUGGAAAUGUUAACCUAUGUAAAGCUCCUUCGACGAGUCGAGUUGUUUGGGAAUGCAGCUCUAAAUGGGAGGUAAAUUUCUUCUAAAGCUAAAUAUUGGCGAGAGACCGAUAGCGCACAAGUAGAGUGAUCGAAAGAUGAAAAGCACUUUGGAAAGAGAGUUAAAAAGCACGUGAAAUUGUUGAAAGGGAAGCGCUUGCAAUCAGACUUGUUUAAACUGUUCGGCCGGUCUUCUGACCGGUUUACUCAGUUUGGACAGGCCAGCAUCAGUUUCGGCGGCCGGAUAAAGGCUCUGGGAAUGUGGCCUUCACUUCGGUGAAGGUGUUAUAGCCCAGGGUGUAAUACGGCCAGCCGGGACUGAGGUCCGCGCUUCGGCUAGGAUGCUGGCGUAAUGGUUGUAAGCGACCCGUCUUGAAACACGGACCAAGGAGUCUAACAUCUAUGCGAGUGUUCGGGUGUCAAACCCCUGCGCGUAAUGAAAGUGAACGGAGGUGGGAACCGCAAGGUGCACCAUCGACCGAUCCUGAUGUCUUCGGAUGGAUUUGAGUAAGAGCAUAGCUGUUGGGACCCGAAAGAUGGUGAACUAUGCCUGAAUAGGGUGAAGCCAGAGGAAACUCUGGUGGAGGCUCGCAGCGGUUCUGACGUGCAAAUCGAUCGUCAAAUUUGGGUAUAGGGGCGAAAGACUAAUCGAACC